CGCACAUUGCGCCCGCUGGAACUCCGGCGGGCAUGCCUGUCCGAGCGUCAUUUCAACCCCUCAGGCCCCCCUUCCGGGGGCGGGCCUGGUGUUGGGGCCCGGCCGCUACCCCGCGGCCGUCCCCUAAAUGCAGUGGCGGCCUCGCCGUGAACCUUUGCGUAGUACUUUACCUCGCACCGGAGAUCGACGCGGCCACGCCGUAAAACCCCCAAUUUUACUGGUUGACCUCGGAUCAGGUAGGAAUACCCGCUGAACUUAA
Molecule: unclassified non-coding RNA, 259 nt
Filed under: Neonectria major
Lineage: Eukaryota; Fungi; Ascomycota; Sordariomycetes; Hypocreales; Nectriaceae
Description: partial contains 5.8S ribosomal RNA, internal transcribed spacer 2, and large subunit ribosomal RNA
Source: RNAcentral